AAGGGUGAAGUAUAAUUUAAUUUACAUUUCAGUUACAUUGAAAAGAUCCAAAUUUUAGGCGUCCUUA
Molecule: transfer RNA, 67 nt
Filed under: Aldisa banyulensis
Lineage: Eukaryota; Metazoa; Mollusca; Gastropoda; Nudibranchia; Dorididae
Description: tRNA-Val
Source: RNAcentral